This 324-nucleotide long non-coding RNA is filed under the name Setaria viridis. Its description in RNAcentral is "long non-coding RNA (SVIR_LNC000748)". The record is from RNAcentral. Lineage: Eukaryota; Viridiplantae; Streptophyta; Magnoliopsida; Poales; Poaceae.
GAUAAGGAAUGGGAGAGGUUCGAUUACAUCGCAAUCGUGGACGUGACAACAAUAACCAAGGUAACAACCAAGAACAAGAUAGAACGCAAUGGCGAUCACCGAAACAACUACUUGGGCAAUCAGAACUGCAAGCGUAAACCAGACAAUACCGUUGCAGCAAUAUCAAACUCAAUCAAGAAAGGACCAAACAAACAAAAUGAUGGCCCUUCAUUCAAUGAACUACUCAAAAAACAAUGUCCAUGGCACCAACAUAGCAAACACGCUGCAAUAAAUUGUUACAACCUUCGCAGAGUAAUGCAAGAGUUGAUAGAACCUCCCGCCAAC